Molecule: ribosomal RNA, 253 nt
Filed under: uncultured bacterium
Lineage: Bacteria
Description: partial 16S ribosomal RNA
Rfam family: Bacterial small subunit ribosomal RNA
Source: RNAcentral
UACGGGGGGGGCAAGCGUUGUUCGGAAUUACUGGGCGUAAAGGGCUCGUAGGUGGCCAACUAAGUCAGACGUGAAAUCCCUCGGCUUAACCGGGGAACUGCGUCUGAUACUGGAUGGCUUGAGUUCGGGAGAGGGAUGCGGAAUUCCAGGUGUAGCGGUGAAAUGCGUAGAUAUCUGGAGGAACACCGGUGGCGAAGGCGGCAUCCUGGACCGACACUGACACUGAGGAGCGAGAGCCAGGGGAGCAAACGGG